RNAcentral lists this long non-coding RNA (1940 nucleotides) under Mus musculus (house mouse). RNAcentral's name for it is "long non-coding RNA chr1:58405413-58407353". The record is from RNAcentral. Lineage: Eukaryota; Metazoa; Chordata; Mammalia; Rodentia; Muridae.
AAGAUAUGAUUUGGUUAAAAAUAAUUUGUUACAAAAAGAUUCUGUUUGCAAAUUAAACUGUAAAAGUAUUCAAAGUCUCAAAGGGCAAUGAUUUGUGUGAUAACUUAGUGUGUCCAGAGCCCUGUUCAUCAGUGAAAAUCCUGUAGAUGAUUGAAUCCAUAACAUGAACCCUGACGUUGGUUAUAUGUGAGCAUUUUCUUAUAUUCUUAACCCCAGAUGUUUGAUUUCUGGGUAUCAUCCUUAGUAAAGCCAUGGAGAGCAAACUUGAGUUUGAGAACUACAUGUGGCAGAGGUAGGAAGAAGGAAGCUGAGUCUUUUUCUGGAAACUUCUAGGUUCAUUUGUAUCUUUCCAGGUAGAACAGGUUGAUAACUCCUCACACAAACGUUCUACCCCAGGAUACAGCUAGACUGUUAUAAGAGUUCCCACAAGGACUGAAUCAAGGAAAUGUCUUGUCACUAAACCAUACGAUUGUUGAGUGUUUUGGGUGAGCGUGUUCUAACAGGAUCUCUGUACGACUCCAUUUUCCUUUGUGAAGGUGAAGGACAGUCAUUCGCGGUCUGCCAUUCAGUUGUCUGGGCCUGGCCUCAUUCUACUAUAGUCAAGCACCUAGUAACUCACCCUAGUUGCCAUUUUCUUAAAUUGCCAUGAGCCAAAUACUUCAAUUGAUUAAUCCAUUUAUUUUAACGGCUGCCUUCGUUGCUUUUCUUUUUGCUAUCCAUUUAUAGUUAGUAGUGGAAGAUGUAGCCACCUUUUUUGGGAAAGGCUAAAAGUGAACAUUUUGAAAGUUUUUUUUUUUAAUUGGUAAAAAAAAAAUAGUAAGAGAAUAAUGCCACCAGAGACUUUAGUGGACAUUGCCCAUUUUGAAGGUGCCAUUCUUAGAAGCCAAGAAUUUGGUAUUUAAAGUUUAUCUUGAGAGAAUAACCUGUAAUAUAAUUUGAAAUAAAGGUAUAGUAACCUUAAGAGCACUGUAGCAAAAACAUUGGUGGGUGGGGUGAAUUUGUAAAAUGAAUGACUUUGAUAAAGUUUUAUGCACAGGCAAAUGUAUUCAUUAGAUUCUGUGUAGUGAUCUGCUUUCCCUUUGUAAUUUGUAGUCCUAAAAAGAUUUUUUUUUUUUAAAAUAAAGUCCAUCCUUGCAUUUAGGUUUUAUAGAUCAGUCUUUUUAUUCCCACCCCUCCCCCAGUCGCAUUGAUCCCUAAUGGUGUGCUGUAUGUCCUGCUUUCAGAUGUCAACUGUGUAUAAACAUUAGUAACAAUUUGUCCAUAGAACUUGCAGACUAAACACCUCACAGAUUCCAAUGUAGCUAAAACUACAUUGCCAUUUCUACAACCAGAUCCUUGCAUGUUAACCGUCGUUCAAAACGCACCGUUUAUUAUAUACUGUGUAUAGUGAAAGAGUGUGUAGUCUUCCAGAACUACAUUAUGAUCUUUGAUCAUUGAUCUUUCCCCCCCCCUUUAUACACAGUAGUGUUUAAUUAGUAUAGUAGCACACGAGUAAGGCACCUGUGAGUACAAUGUAAAGAAAGGGAUUUAUGAAAUUAUUCUCAUUUUAAGUUUAAAUGCCAACCUAUCGCCUCCAAUAUGUAAUUCUUAAUGGAGAUGUUAAAACUGUACUCUGAAUCAUGAUUGGAUAACUGUUGAUUGAAUUCCUAACUUGGUGUCAGUUUCUAAGGCCUUUAGUGUCUUGGAUAUUCUACUGUGUGUUUAGAACUGUUAAGUGUCACCUUAUUCUGGGAUUAUUGUCCUAGAAAUAUUCUGUUCUUAUAAAAUUUUCAGAUACCAAAAUGCCACAUACUUUACUCAGCAUAAUGAUUGAUGGUGAGGGGAAAUGCAUGUGACCAAGUAAUUAACUUAUAACAGUGUUCAAGCUUUUUCCAUUAUCCAAACCCCCCAGAAACCUUUUCCCCUAAUAGCACCCCAAUAAAUUUUAAUAUAGAUAUACU